RNAcentral lists this ribosomal RNA (511 nucleotides) under Saitozyma podzolica. RNAcentral's name for it is "eukaryotic LSU rRNA". It matches the Rfam family "Eukaryotic large subunit ribosomal RNA", at positions 84 to 601 of the family's 3401-position model. Lineage: Eukaryota; Fungi; Basidiomycota; Tremellomycetes; Tremellales; Trimorphomycetaceae. The record is from RNAcentral.
UAGCGGCGAGCGAAGCGGGAAGAGCUCAAAUUUGAAAGCUGGCGUCCUUCGGGCGUCCGCAUUGUAAUCUAUAGAGGCGUUUUCUGUGCUGGACCGUGUCCAAGUCCCUUGGAACAGGGUAUCAAAGAGGGUGACAAUCCCGUACUUGACACGACAACCAGUGCUCUGUGAUACGUCUUCUACGAGUCGAGUUGUUUGGGAAUGCAGCUCAAAAUGGGUGGUGAAUUCCAUCUAAAGCUAAAUAUUGGCGAGAGACCGAUAGCGAACAAGUACCGUGAGGGAAAGAUGAAAAGCACUUUGGAAAGAGAGUUAAACAGUAUGUGAAAUUGUUGAAAGGGAAACGAUGGAGGUCAGUCGUGUCUGUGGGAUUCAGCCGUCUCUGGCGGUGUACUUCCCACAGACGGGUCAACAUCAGUUUUGGUCGGCGGAUAAAGGCAGGAGGAAGGUGGCACCCCCGGGUGUGUUAUAGCCUCUUGUUGCAUACGCUGGCCGAGACUGAGGAAUGCAGCUC